This is a transfer RNA of 95 nucleotides. It matches the Rfam family "tRNA". From Rfam's summary of the family: Transfer RNA (tRNA) molecules are approximately 80 nucleotides in length. Their secondary structure includes four short double-helical elements and three loops (D, anti-codon, and T loops). Further hydrogen bonds mediate the characteristic L-shaped molecular structure. tRNAs have two regions of fundamental functional importance: the anti-codon, which is responsible for specific mRNA codon recognition, and the 3' end, to which the tRNAs corresponding amino acid is attached (by aminoacyl-tRNA synthetases). tRNAs cope with the degeneracy of the genetic code in two manners: having more than one tRNA (with a specific anti-codon) for a particular amino acid; and 'wobble' base-pairing, i.e. permitting non-standard base-pairing at the 3rd anti-codon position. The record is from Rfam.
UCCGAUAUGGUGUAGUGGCUAACAUUAUCGCCUCUCAUAUUUGUAAAUUUUGGAAUGAAGCGCGAUAGCCCGGGGUUCGAUUCCCCGUGUCGGAA